UGAAAAAAAAAAAAAAGUGCAGCUUCCAUAUGUUUGUUUGACAUGUGGCAUGGUAAGGAAAUUUUCUUAACUGAAUGGGUUGUAAAUUCAAUAGAGCGGGAGGGUGUCAAAGUGUCCAUUGAAAUUAUAGACCAAGAUAUCUGUGUUUCUUUUACCAUUAACAUGACAUAGCAUAGUCUAUGUCCAUAAGAUACCGAGAUAAGAAAAGUCCCAUUGUUCUGGAGAGUGUUUGGUCCCAGACAUCUUGGGCUCAGUGAUAACAAACAGAAAGAAUGUUGGUCAGUUCUAACUGGUCCUGGAAAGGGGUGUUUUUGGUUCACUUGAAAAAAAAAAAAGAAUUAGUUCAGGUUUUUGGCCCUUAUUGGGGUUCAAUUGAUUAUACUCACCGAUAUAUGACCCUGUCCCUCUGGAACAUCCCUGUGUUACCGUAAUAGGAUGCAAGUACAUUCAUGGCCACAUAAUAAUAAUAUAGGGAUAACAUCCCCCUAAGGAGGAAAUGUUUAUACACAAUAAUAGGACAAACGUGUAAUGUGAUAGAUGUCUAAUUAAAUAGGAUAGCAAAUUUUGAGAAAAGCAAUAGGAUUAGACUGAUAUGAUUGGCUUCCAAGAUGUAUCUAUUAUAGCAAUCCAAGCUUUAAGCAUGUUUAGGUAGGAAGAUCACAGUUUUGGAUUUUUACACUAAGCCAGAGAAGCAGAGCUCCCUUUUUGAACUGCCUAUGAGUUAAACCGAUUGUACAUGAGCAAGGAACUUAAUAUUAGUUAAUAUAGGUAAUACUGAUUGUAUUGAUUUGUAUGAUUCCUGUCUAAGGUUUUCUUUGUUACCCUGAUUACAUGUAAAUCUCUCUUUUCCAAACUAGUCUAUUGUGAGCUCUCUGAUUGGUUCAAUCUGUACCUGACUUAAUGUAAUUAUGCAAUUUUGCAAAUUAUGAGUAAACUUUGUUGUAUUGUUUGUUUGAACCUAGUCCUGUGUGACUGGGAAAACUGAACUAUCUCUAUGUGCCUUUAACUAAAGACUUAUGAGGGAUUCUGGGAUACUUAGGAAUUUAGUUUCCUUAAUACUACUCUGGAAUUUGUGUUAUUUAAGAACUUUUGCACCAAUUUAGUGAGGUUUUAUGAACAAGAGUAGAAAUGCAUGCAAGCUUUUUAGGGCUCAUUUUGGAAAUGUUCCUUAGGCAAUGUGACAUCUUAGGGUACUAUAGAACUGGGACUUGUGUUCUG
This 1218-nucleotide long non-coding RNA is filed under the name Phascolarctos cinereus (koala). RNAcentral describes it as "lncRNA (ENSPCIG00000036760.1)". The record is from RNAcentral. Lineage: Eukaryota; Metazoa; Chordata; Mammalia; Diprotodontia; Phascolarctidae.